This is a non-coding RNA of Cordylochernes scorpioides, 78 nucleotides long. NCBI's taxonomy places the organism in Eukaryota, Metazoa, Arthropoda, Arachnida, Pseudoscorpiones, Chernetidae. The record is from the annotation of a GenBank genome assembly.
GUGUCAGGAUAGCUCAGUUGGGAGAGCACUAGACUGAACAUCUAGCAGCCCCUGGUUCAGGUCCAGGCAAUCCACACA